AAUGAACGUUGGCGGCGUGGAUUAGGCAUGCAAGUCGAGCGAGAAAUUUGUGAAUGAUCCUUCGGGUGAUUGAUCAGAUGGAAAGCGGCAAACGGCGUAGUAAUGCGUAGGUUACGUACCCUCAGAUCGGGAAUAGCCAUGGGAAACCGUGGGUAAUGCCCGAUAAUGUCUGUGGACCAAAGGUGUGAUUCCGUCUGAGGAGCGGCUUACGUGAUAUUAGCUUGUUGGUGGGGUAAUGGCCUACCAAGGCGACGAUGUCUAGGGGGUGUGAGAGCAUGGCCCCCACGACCGGAACUGAGACACUGUCCGGACACCUACGGGUGGCUGCAGUCGAGAAUCUUCCGCAAUGGACGAAAGUCUGACGGAGCGACGCCGCGUGCGGGAUGAAGGCCCUUGGGUUGUAAACCGCUGUCAGAGGGGAUGAAAUCAUGGUUGGCUAUCCUUCCAUGUUGACAGAGCCUCAGAGGAAGCACGGGCUAAGUACGUGCCAGCCGCCGCCGUAACAC
RNAcentral lists this ribosomal RNA (506 nucleotides) under uncultured bacterium. Its description in RNAcentral is "bacterial SSU rRNA". It matches the Rfam family "Bacterial small subunit ribosomal RNA", at positions 29 to 526 of the family's 1533-position model. The record is from RNAcentral.